GUAAUGCGUUUCUGUUAUUUGU
RNAcentral lists this microRNA (22 nucleotides) under Panagrellus redivivus. RNAcentral describes it as "prd-miR-7954-5p". Lineage: Eukaryota; Metazoa; Nematoda; Chromadorea; Rhabditida; Panagrolaimidae. The record is from miRBase by way of RNAcentral.